This is a non-coding RNA of Peromyscus maniculatus bairdii (prairie deer mouse), 563 nucleotides long. Lineage: Eukaryota; Metazoa; Chordata; Mammalia; Rodentia; Cricetidae. The record is from RefSeq and is a predicted model, not a curated record.
GUCACUGCGGCCGGAAGACACGCGGCCCUGCCCUGGGUGGGCCGAGUGAGGUCACCGGUUGCCUUGGAGAUCUGGCUUCCAGCGGGCGGAGUGAGGUCAUCAGUUGCCAGUUAGGAUUCCCAGCAGCUGUGAUCACCUGCAGACCUGUACACUACCGGCCCACCAACAUCCUGUCGUGGGGUGCAGCAGGAGUUCCCACAGAGCUUUGCAGCUGCUGGGUUCCGGAAUGUUAGCACCUGGCUUUGAUCGGCCUUUUGUGACUGCUACCUCUCGUGUCCAGAACCUUCCAUUUGAAGUGUGUAAAUCUUAUCUGAGAGUCUCCUAAAGGCUCAAGCUUGUGCAAAAUCUGACUGUGGGAGGACUCAGAAAACUGAGAUGUCCUGUGACUGGGAAUUGCUCUGGCAUCUAUUUGGGGAACUUAGAUAAGAGGUUCUGGUUUGCAGAAACUGACUUGCUAAAGGUGUAAAUUGUAUAACAAUAAAAAUGCCUUUUGGGAAACUACAGUCAGUCAGUUCACCAGAGGCUGACUGACUUCCCAGCGGCUGUAAAGGCUAAAAAUCAUC